This 497-nucleotide ribosomal RNA is filed under the name uncultured bacterium. Its description in RNAcentral is "partial 16S ribosomal RNA". It matches the Rfam family "Bacterial small subunit ribosomal RNA", at positions 28 to 507 of the family's 1533-position model. The record is from RNAcentral.
GAUGAACGCUGGCGGCGUGCCUAAUACAUGCAAGUCGAGCGAACGGACGAGAAGCUUGCUUCUCUGAUGUUAGCGGCGGACGGGUGAGUAACACGUGGAUAACCUACCUAUAAGACUGGGAUAACUUCGGGAAACCGGAGCUAAUACCGGAUAAUAUUUUGAACCGCAUGGUUCAAAAGUGAAAGACGGUCUUGCUGUCACUUAUAGAUGGAUCCGCGCUGCAUUAGCUAGUUGGUAAGGUAACGGCUUACCAAGGCAACGAUGCAUAGCCGACCUGGGGGGCUGAUCGGCCACACUGGAACUUAGACACGGUCCAGACUCCUACGGGAGGCAGCAGUAGGGAAUCUUCCGCAAUGGGCGAAAGCCUGACGGAGCAACGCCGCGUGAGUGAUGAAGGUCUUCGGAUCGUAAAACUCUGUUAUUAGGGAAGAACAUAUGUUUAAGUAACUGUGCACAUCUUGACGGUACCUAAUCAGAAAGCCACGGCUAACUACGUG